This 165-nucleotide ribosomal RNA is filed under the name Psittacanthus sonorae. RNAcentral describes it as "5.8S ribosomal RNA". It matches the Rfam family "5.8S ribosomal RNA". From Rfam's summary of the family: 5.8S ribosomal RNA (5.8S rRNA) is a component of the large subunit of the eukaryotic ribosome. It is transcribed by RNA polymerase I as part of the 45S precursor that also contains 18S and 28S rRNA. The record is from RNAcentral. Lineage: Eukaryota; Viridiplantae; Streptophyta; Magnoliopsida; Santalales; Loranthaceae.
AUAAUGACUCUCGGCAACGGAUAUCUCGGCUCUCGCAUCGAUGAAGAACGCAGCGAAAUGUGAUACCUGGUGUGAAUUGCAAAAUCUCCUGAAUCAUCGAGUCUUUGAACGCAAGUUGUGCCCGAGACCAUUCGGCUGAGGGCACGCCUGCCUGGGCGUCAAGCG